CCACAUUCACUUCCUUAAGAAACUAAGACAAUGCUAGCUGGAAAAAAUAAAACCAAAGAACUAGAAAGACAGGACCAAGUAACCACAACGAUGUUUCAGAGAACACUAUCGGCAACCGCAUCUAAAAGAGCCAUUGCCUGCGGAGAAUUCAAGGCCGAAAAACCACCAACGGCAAGGGAGAUGAACUGAGAGAGCUUUCCUCAAGAUAACACUUCCA
Molecule: long non-coding RNA, 217 nt
Filed under: Brassica napus (rape)
Lineage: Eukaryota; Viridiplantae; Streptophyta; Magnoliopsida; Brassicales; Brassicaceae
Description: long non-coding RNA (BNAP_LNC014495)
Source: RNAcentral